This 843-nucleotide ribosomal RNA is filed under the name uncultured Pseudomonadales bacterium. RNAcentral's name for it is "bacterial SSU rRNA". It matches the Rfam family "Bacterial small subunit ribosomal RNA", at positions 28 to 866 of the family's 1533-position model. Lineage: Bacteria; Pseudomonadati; Pseudomonadota; Gammaproteobacteria; Pseudomonadales. The record is from RNAcentral.
AUUGAACGCUGGCGGCAGGCCUAACACAUGCAAGUCGAGCGGAUGAAGGGAGCUUGCUCCUGGAUUCAGCGGCGGACGGGUGAGUAAUGCCUAGGAAUCUGCCUGGUAGUGGGGGAUAACGUCCGGAAACGGGCGCUAAUACCGCAUACGUCCUGAGGGAGAAAGUGGGGGAUCUUCGGACCUCACGCUAUCAGAUGAGCCUAGGUCGGAUUAGCUAGUUGGUGGGGUAAAGGCCUACCAAGGCGACGAUCCGUAACUGGUCUGAGAGGAUGAUCGGUCACACUGGAACUGAGACACGGUCCAGACUCCUACGGGAGGCAGCAGUGGGGAAUAUUGGACAAUGGGCGAAAGCCUGAUCCAGCCAUGCCGCGUGUGUGAAGAAGGUCUUCGGAUUGUAAAGCACUUUAAGUUGGGAGGAAGGGCAGUAAGUUAAUACCUUGCUGUUUUGACGUUACCAACAGAAUAAGCACCGGCUAACUUCGUGCCAGCAGCCGCGGUAAUACGAAGGGUGCAAGCGUUAAUCGGAAUUACUGGGCGUAAAGCGCGCGUAGGUGGUUCAGCAAGUUGGAUGUGAAAUCCCCGGGCUCAACCUGGGAACUGCAUCCAAAACUACUGAGCUAGAGUACGGUAGAGGGUGGUGGAAUUUCCUGUGUAGCGGUGAAAUGCGUAGAUAUAGGAAGGAACACCAGUGGCGAAGGCGACCACCUGGACUGAUACUGACACUGAGGUGCGAAAGCGUGGGGAGCAAACAGGAUUAGAUACCCUGGUAGUCCACGCCGUAAACGAUGUCGACUAGCCGUUGGGAUCCUUGAGAUCUUAGUGGCGCAGCUAACGCGAUAAGUC